ACUCCUACGGGAGGCAGCAGUGGGGAAUAUUGCACAAUGGGCGCAAGCCUGAUGCAGCCAUGCCGCGUGUGUGAAGAAGGCCUUCGGGUUGUAAAGCACUUUCAGUUGUGAGGAAGGAUGGUGUCGUUAAUAGUACGGCAUCAUUUGAUCGUUUAGCAACAUGAAGAAGCAACCGGCAUAACUCCGGUAGCCAGCCAGCCGCGGGUAAUACGGAGGGUGCGAGCGUUAAUCGGAAUUACUGGGCGUAAAGCGCAUGCAGGUGGUUUGUUAAGUCAGAUGUGAAAGCCCGGGGCUCAACCUCGGAAUUGCAUUUGAAACUGGCAAACUAGAGUACUGUAGAGGGGGGUAGAAUUUCAGGUGUAGCGGUGAAAUGCGUAGAGAUCUGAAGGAAUACCGGUGGCGAAGGCGGCCCCUGGACAGAUACUGACACUCAGAUGCGAAAAGCGUGGGGAGCAAAACAGGAUUAGAUACCCUGGUAGCUACGAGU
Molecule: ribosomal RNA, 487 nt
Filed under: uncultured bacterium
Lineage: Bacteria
Description: bacterial SSU rRNA
Rfam family: Bacterial small subunit ribosomal RNA
Source: RNAcentral